Ictidomys tridecemlineatus (thirteen-lined ground squirrel) is the source of this 4699-nucleotide non-coding RNA. The record is from RefSeq and is a predicted model, not a curated record. Lineage: Eukaryota; Metazoa; Chordata; Mammalia; Rodentia; Sciuridae.
GCAGGUGUCACCUGGCAUCCGGACAGGACCUGGCACAGGGCGGCUCUGCCCCCGCCAGGCCCACGGCGCUGCUCUGGUCAGCAGAGCAGGACUCGGGCCCAGGCGGGGGGACUCCUCGCGGGUGCUCAGCGCCUCUGACCGCUUCCUGGCGGAGGAGUGGAGACAGGAUUCUGUGGCCAGAGGGGGCGAGGACGGAAGUCGUUUCCUGUUCGCCUGGUUCACUGGGCAGAAGCUCCGUGUUCCUCUUCGAAGCCUCACAGGGGCUGCGCCAGGUACAGGGGGGUGCCGGGGUCGGAGUCGGCCCCCACCCGAGCAGCGCCUCCCCCGGGCACAGAGCCUCUGCGCCUGUGUGGGGCGGGUGCAGGGAGCGCGGCAGAGCCUGGGCUGCGGUGCCAGGCAGACGCGGGCUCCAGCUCAGGCCCAGGUACUUAGCAGCUGAGUGACCUCCGACAAAGUGCUUCACCUCUCUGAGCCAAAUAAGGCUAAGGGUCAUUCCUAACCCCUGCGGUGGUGUUAGCACCAACACGUGCAAAACUUCCCAGCGCACACACGCCUGCCUGCUCCAGGCCUUAGUUAGGCACCUGCGGGCUGGAUUUCUGGAAUUCUCCACGACUCUCUUACUCACCCCAGACUGGCCGCCUGGGUCCUCCCAGUGGUCCUUCUGAGACGGGCCCAGAUCAGCCUGCAGGCUGCGUGCUGCCCGAGCCUGUCCACGGUGUUGGCAGGGAGCUGGCCAGCCACAGCCGAGGACAGGCCCCCGCUUGCCCUCUGGGCGCAUGAAGUCGCUUCCCUGGAACUCAGCCACACGUGUGCAGAAAGUCUCCCUCAGGCCUCUCGGGCUCCGCCAGCAGAGUGGAGGGUGGAACAGGUGUCCCCUCCGUCCUCGCCCGUGCGACACUGACGAUAUGCCCAGGUUAGAUGCCAACGUGUGUGGACCUUGCAAGUCCCGAGCAAGCGUUGCUGGGAGGAGGGUGUGCAGGCAGAGCCUCCCAGAACGCCCCAGCCUCCGAGGAGGGACCCUGCAUGUGAUCUCCCUGCUCCUCACGUCCCCGGGGGAGAGAGGCUGGGUGGCACUGGGGUUGGGGGGAGGCCACCCUCAGGAGCGGGGGCUCUGGAGAGAAAGCAGUGCCGAUUUUCUACUUGGCGUCCAGACCAGCCUGCUGUGUGGCCUUGGGCAGGUUGUCUGACCUCUCUGAGCUCCAGGAAGUGGAUGGUUAAUAGGGUCAGUGCCCAUAGGUGUAAGCUAAGGCCUCUUGGGCAGCAGGCCAGCAGCCUGCCCCCCUCUCCUGCCCCCAGAGCAACUCCACAUGCUCUUCAUGCCCCGCGUCCAGGGCCUCGGGAUCACUGUCCCCUUCUCUCACAUCCUUGGGAUCAGAGGUCACUGGUCCCCGGGAGCUCUGGCCUCCCAGCUCUGCAAAGGCGAGGCAUGGGGUGCGGUGUGGAGCCUGGGGGGCCCUGCAGCGUGGGCUGUCACCGUGACAGAGGGGAGUCUGGGAGCUGCUCCAGGGAGGACGCAGGGCCAGGCCGAGCUGGGCACAAGGGCACCCUCAGCUGGCCUCGUGUGCUGGCACUGCCCCCUCCCGCACCCGGCCACUGGUUUCCUGGGAGCCCUGUUAGGGCUGAGCUUGGAGCAGCGAGGCGGGCUCAGAAAGGAACAGUUCCCAGCCAUCCUUGGGCCUCUUCCCCGCUGGGAGUGCCCCCUCUGUGGCGUGUCCCUCGGAGCCCCCAGCUGCCCCCGCUGGAGUGUCCGCAGCAUGACAGGAGCGGCCCUCGUCACCCUGAUGUCUCACCAGCAGGAGCGGAGCCAGGCGCGUAGUAGGUGCUGAGCAGACAAUCGUGGGUACCGCGUCUGGGUGUCGCCAGCCUCGAGCCUCCUGCCUCCCCCCUCCCUAGUGCCCUCAGCGGGCAGCCCUGGGUCAGCAGGCAGCCCUGGGUCGGCUGCAGGACCCCGCAGCCCCCACCCAGGAGCCGGUGACACCACAGCACAUGGCGUCUCGUGUUUGGAAACUGGCCUCUUGUAGUCACAUCCAUCGUCCCCCAGAGCCGCGACCUCCUCACUUACCAAACCCAGUGAGAACCUCCCCCUGCAGGCUGCUGCCCAGGCGGCGUGGCUUUCUCCCCUCCCCUGGACCCCAGAGACAGCUCCUCCUGGCCCUGGCCACAUUUCCAGUGCCUGAACCCUGUGCGCACCUCCGAGGAGGUAUUGUCGUCCUCCUCAUGUCACACAGAUGGGGAAAUAGGCUGAGAGACAGGCUCAGAGAUGUCAAGCAAUGUACCAGGGACACACAGCAAGAGACCUGGGUUUGGUGGUAAAUAUACAGUGGUGUUUAAUAAAUGCUGAUGACCUCCUAUCAGAAGAGGAGGGUUUGUUGGCCCCCACCCCUGCUUGUCACCUUUCCUGCGUGAGUGCAGUCCAACAGAGCCCUGCUGUGACAGGGACCUCCCAGGGCCAGGGUCCUCUGACUCUCAGUGUCCCGGGGUCCUCUGACUCUGUGUCCCGCGGCAGCUCUUAGGCGUGGAAGCUCUUAGGUGCUCACCUGCAGGGCCUCCUCUCCUCCCUCUUCUCCCGGUGACAAAGCGUCUAGCUGUCCCUUGGCAUACAGGGCUGGUUCUGGGACACCCUGCCUCACCGUUGGUGCCCACACCCGCGGGGGCUCAGGUUCUCGGGUUUGCAGUGACCCUGGGCACACCCUCCAGUGGCCUCGGAGCGGCCUCUCCAUCCUUCUGACGCCUGUGCCCCGUGAGGGCCUCUCCGCACCCGGGGCGCGUCUUCCUGCAGGGAGGGGCCCUCAUGCUCGGCACCGGGCGACGUUUUUCCCAAAUAUCCCCUCGGAGGUCGGUUGAGUCUGGGACACGGAGCCCCCGAGGCAGAGGGCUGGACGCGCAGAGCACACUCGGCUCCAGGGCCGCUGGGCUGGGCUGGCCGCAGCGUGUCGCCUGCCAACUCCCGCUCCAGAUCUGUGCUGUCCCGCACAGUGGCCCCUGGCCACCUGCAGCUUCUGGCCACUCAGAAGCAAGGCUGACCGUCUGUCCCAGGCUGGACUUGGGUCUCAGUUUCCACCGGCUGCUGGUGGGAUGCGCCCGCGUCUCUGAGAGUCGCGAGGCCCUGGCCAGCCGUCUCCAGGGGAGGGGGGCCGUGGCCGUGGGAAGCCCAGGCUGGCGGGCGCCGCGGGCUCACUGGCAUUUCAAGGGCCGCCGAGGGCAGCUGGGCCGCUGCCAUCUGCCUCCGGAAGAGCUUCAAGUGCGUGGCCCCGUGAGCUCCCUUUGUUCCAGGGGCGCAGCCGGCCGUCCUCGUCCAGGGGCGCAGGCCUGAGCCGCUGCAGUUGCUGGGGGGCUGGCCGUGGCCGUGGACCCUCUCUCUGCUGGUGCUAGGUGUGCUGACUGAUCUGGGGCUUCAGGAACAGGGCUGUGCCGGCAGGAAGCCUUGGUGAGCAGGCGCGCGGGCUGGGCCCCAAGGAUGACAGCGCCCAGGAGAGGCCAACUUCUGGUACAAAUAGGUGCUCAUUAAAAGCUGGAAUCACCGAAUAGCCAGGGGUCGCAGGAGAAGGCGUGAGUAGGCUCUGGGAAGCUGCUGCUGUGCCACCUUGGAUGCCUGCCAGGGGAGGGUCCUGACCGUCCUCAGUGGCCCUCUCCGGCUGACACUUUGAGGCCCAUUUUACAGAUGAGCUCAGAGCAGUUAAGUCUGUUGCCCCACCUCACACAGCCAGGAAGGGGCCAAGCUGGGAUUCCAGCCCAGGCCCCCCGACUCUGAAUGUCCUGGGACCCAGGCUUGACCUUGACUGUGGAAAGGGAUGGGAGGGGCAGAUGGGGAAACCAUCACGGAGCCUCCUGACUGGCCCCGGCCUCCACUGUGCCCUGCAGGUCCCCUCUGGCUGCUGCCCGCCCACACCUCCAGCCCUACCCUCCAGCCCGCAGCUCCCCUGAGACUUCCCUCCACCCACCCCCACCGCAGGGCCUUGGCACGCUCUGUUCCUCUGCCUGGAACCCCUGGGCAGAGCAUGGUCAUCUGGAUUGAAGGCCAGGCCUCCUGGGCUGGGUGUGAGCUUGGGCCCUGCUCAGCCGCUCCCCAGACUCACAGCUGGGGCAGCCCCUUGGGUCCUAGUUUCCCCUCCCUGCGAUGGGGAUUCCAUGGCUUGCACCUGGCCAGGUCCAGGCCCUGCCGAGUCCAGAAGGGUUUAGUGAGCAGCUCCUAGAUGCACAGCCCUGUGCACAGCUGGGGGAUACAUAGCCUUGGGCAGAGGUGACAGGAGGCCCUGCGCCCUGGGACCAGAGGUGCUGGGAGUGUGUGGUCAUAUUCUGGGAGUAAAUGUUGCAGUUUUGAUAGUAAAUUUCAUUGUGCGGGGAGUACCAGGGAUUGAACCCAGGGGCCCUCGCCCACGGAGCCCCGUCCCCAGCCCUACUUGCAUUUUAUUUAGAGACAGGGUCUCCCUGAGCUGCUUAAGGCCUCGCUGUGGCUGAGGAUGGCCCUGAACUCGAUCCUCCUGCCUCAGUCUUCCCAGCCGCUGGGGUAACGAGGUCCUCACUGCCUACCUGCAGAUGGAGACGGUGGGAACAUCGGGAAGUGGAGAAGGGAGGAUUGGAGUCCAGGCAGUCAGGCCUGGACUUUUGGGUCCUUUUGGGUCCUUUUGGGUCUGUGGGCUCCCUCGGGGUGACAGCUCUUCCCGUGAGCGGGGAGAACCCAGCGGGGCUUAGGAGUUCU